AUCUGGCUCAGGACGAACGCUGGCGGCGUGCCUAAUACAUGCAAGUAGAACGCUGAAGGAGGAGCUUGCUUCUCCGGAUGAGUUGCGAACGGGUGAGUAACGCGUAGGUAACCUGCCUGGUAGCGGGGGAUAACUAUUGGAAACGAUAGCUAAUACCGCAUAAUAGUAGAUGUUGCAUGACAUUUGCUUAAAAGGUGCAAUUGCAUCACUACCAGAUGGACCUGCGUUGUA
This 231-nucleotide ribosomal RNA is filed under the name uncultured bacterium. RNAcentral's name for it is "partial 16S ribosomal RNA". It matches the Rfam family "Bacterial small subunit ribosomal RNA", at positions 17 to 240 of the family's 1533-position model. The record is from RNAcentral.